UAAACUGGGAGGAAGGUGGGGAUGACGUCAAAUCAUCAUGCCCCUUAUGACCUGGGCUACAAACGUGAUACAAUGGCUGGAACAAAGGGAGGCGAAGGGGUGACCUGGAGCGAAACUCAAAAAAACAGUCUCAGUUCGGAUUGAAGUCUGCAACUCGACUUCAUGAAGUCGGAAUCGCUAGUAAUCGCGGAUCAGAACGCCGCGGUGAAUACGUUCUCGGGUUU
This 224-nucleotide ribosomal RNA is filed under the name uncultured Acholeplasma sp. RNAcentral describes it as "partial 16S ribosomal RNA". It matches the Rfam family "Bacterial small subunit ribosomal RNA", at positions 1158 to 1381 of the family's 1533-position model. The record is from RNAcentral. Lineage: Bacteria; Bacillati; Mycoplasmatota; Mollicutes; Acholeplasmatales; Acholeplasmataceae.